RNAcentral lists this ribosomal RNA (466 nucleotides) under uncultured bacterium. RNAcentral describes it as "partial 16S ribosomal RNA". It matches the Rfam family "Bacterial small subunit ribosomal RNA", at positions 28 to 507 of the family's 1533-position model. The record is from RNAcentral.
GAUGAACGCUGGCGGCGUGCUUAACACAUGCAAGUCGAACGGAAAGGCUCCUGCUUGCAGGGGCACUCGAGUGGCGAACGGGUGAGUAACACGUGGGUGAUCUGCCCUGCACUUCGGGAUAAGCCUGGGAAACUGGGUCUAAUACCGGAUAGGACGAUGGUUUGGAUGCCAUCGUGGAAAGUUUUUUCGGUGUGGGAUGAGCUCGCGGCCUAUCAGCUUGUUGGUGGGGUAAUGGCCUACCAAGGCGUCGACGGGUAGCCGGCCUGAGAGGGUGUACGGCCACAUUGGGACUGAGAUACGGCCCAGACUCCUACGGGAGGCAGCAGUGGGGAAUAUUGCACAAUGGGCGCAAGCCUGAUGCAGCGACGCCGCGUGGGGGAUGACGGCCUUCGGGUUGUAAACUCCUUUCGCUAGGGACGAAGCGCAAGUGACGGUACCUGGAGAAGAAGCACCGGCUAACUACGUG